AUACAGAGGGUGCGAGCGUUAAUCGGAAUUACUGGGCGUAAAGCGUACGUAGGCGGUUCGUUAAGUUAGGUGUGAAAGCCCCGGGCUUAACCCGGGAACUGCAUUUAAAACUGGCGAACUAGAGUUGAGUAGAGGGGAGUGGAAUUUCAGGUGUAGCGGUGAAAUGCGUAGAGAUCUGAAGGAACACCAGUGGCGAAGGCGACUCCCUGGACUCGAACUGACGCUGAGGUACGAAAGCGUGGGUAGCAAACGGGAUUAGAUACCCUAGUAGUCC
Molecule: ribosomal RNA, 274 nt
Filed under: uncultured bacterium
Lineage: Bacteria
Description: partial 16S ribosomal RNA
Rfam family: Bacterial small subunit ribosomal RNA
Source: RNAcentral